UACGUAGGGGGCAAGCGUUGUCCGGAAUCAUUGGGCGUAAAGCGCGUGUAGGCGGCUCGAUAAGUCUGCUGUGAAAGUUCAGGGCUCAACCCUGAAAUGCCGGUGGAAACUGUCGGGCUAGAGUCCGGAAGAGGCGAGUGGAAUUCCUGGUGUAGCGGUGAAAUGCGCAGAUAUCAGGAGGAACACCAAUGGCGAAGGCAGCUCGCUGGGACGGUACUGACGCUGAGACACGAAAGCCAGGGGAGCAAACGGG
RNAcentral lists this ribosomal RNA (253 nucleotides) under uncultured bacterium. RNAcentral's name for it is "partial 16S ribosomal RNA". It matches the Rfam family "Bacterial small subunit ribosomal RNA", at positions 524 to 776 of the family's 1533-position model. The record is from RNAcentral.